UGCUGGCGGCGUACCUGCACGAGCGGUUGCAGUCCCUGCAGCAGCAGCAGCAGCAGGCGCAGGAGGAGCUGCAGCUGCAGCGGGCGGCGCAGAGCUCGGUGCUGCUCCUGGCGCUGCAGCACCCGCAGAGCGUCGUGGGCUGCCUGCUGGGCAGCGCGCUGCCCUUCGACGACCCCACGCGCGCCAUGUGGCGGGCGCUGGGCGCGGAGCCGGCGCUGACGUCGCGGGUCCUGGAGCGGCUCCUGGAGCGGCUGAGCCGCGAAAUUCCCUUCAAGGAGAGCAAAGCCUUCGUGCCGGGCGGCGCCGCCGAGCGCGUGGCCACCGCCCCGGCCCUGGCCGCCACGCUGGCCCUGGAUGAGCUCAUGUCUGUGCCGGAGGCGCGCGCGUCC
Camarhynchus parvulus is the source of this 389-nucleotide long non-coding RNA. RefSeq lists it as uncharacterized. The record is from RefSeq and is a predicted model, not a curated record. NCBI's taxonomy places the organism in Eukaryota, Metazoa, Chordata, Aves, Passeriformes, Thraupidae. The transcript is spliced from 3 exons.